This 442-nucleotide ribosomal RNA is filed under the name uncultured bacterium. Its description in RNAcentral is "partial 16S ribosomal RNA". It matches the Rfam family "Bacterial small subunit ribosomal RNA", at positions 338 to 795 of the family's 1533-position model. The record is from RNAcentral.
CCUACGGGUGGCUGCAGUGGGGGAUAUUGGACAAUGGGCGCAAGCCUGACCCAGCAACGCCGCGUGAAGGAAGAAGUCUUUCGGUUUGUAAACUUCUUUCAGCAGGGAAGAAGAGAAGACGGUACCUCUUGAAUAAGCCACGGCUAACUACGUGCCAGCAGCCGCGGUAAUACGUAGGGGGCAAGCGUUCUCCGGAUUUACUGGGUGUAAAGGGCGUGCAGGCGGGAAGACAAGUCAGAUGUGAAAGCCCGCGGCCCAACCGCGGAACUGCAUUGGAAACUGCUGUGCUGGAGUACCGGAGAGGUAAGCGGAAUUCCUAGUGUAGCGGUGAAAUGCGUAGAUAUAAGGAAGAACACCAGUGGCGAAGGCGGAUGACUGGACGGCAACUGACGGUGAGGCGCGAAAGCGUGGGGAGCAAACAGGAUUAGAUACCCGGGUAGUC